AACGCUGGCGGCGUGCCUAACACAUGCAAGUCGAGCGAUGAAGUUCNCUUCGGAGAAUGGAUUAGCGGCGGACGGGUGAGUAACACGUGGGUAACCUACCUCAUACAGGGGGAUAACGUAUAGAAAUGUACGCUAAUACCGCAUAAGCCUACAGAAUGGCAUCAUUCAGUAGGAAAAACUCCGGUGGUAUGAGAUGGGCCCGCGACUGAUUAGCUAGUUGGGGAGGUAACGGCUCACCAAGGCGACGAUCAGUAGCCGGUCUGAGAGGAUGGACGGCCACAUUGGGACUGAGACACGGUCCAGACUCCUACGGGAGGCAGCAGUGAGGAAUAUUGGUCAAUGGGCGGGAGCCUGAACCAGCCAAGUAGCGUGAAGGAUGACUGCCCUACGGGUUGUAAACUUCUUUUGUUUGGGAAUAAAAGACGCUACGUGUAGCGUUCUGCAUGUACCUUACGAAUAAGCAUCGGCUAAUUCCGUG
Molecule: ribosomal RNA, 478 nt
Filed under: uncultured bacterium
Lineage: Bacteria
Description: bacterial SSU rRNA
Rfam family: Bacterial small subunit ribosomal RNA
Source: RNAcentral